CCUACGGGAGGCAGCAGUCGAGAAUCAUUCACAAUGGUGGAAACCCUGAUGGUGCGACGCCGCGUGGGGGAAUGAAGUUCUUCGGAUUGUAAACCCCUGUCAUGUGGGAGCAAAUUAAAAAGAUAGUACCACAAUAGGAAGAGACGGGUAACUCUGUUCCAGCAGCCGCGGUAAUACAGCGGUCUCAAGCGUGAUUCGGAAUCCCUGGGCGUAAAGCGUGCGUAGGCUGUUUCGUAAAUCGUGUGUGAAAGGCGCGGGCUCAACCCGCGGACCGCACAUGAUACUGCGAGACUAGAGUAAUGGAGUGGGAACCGGAAUUCGCGGUGUAGCAGUGAAAUGCGUAGAUAUCGAGAGGAACACUCGUGGCGAAGGCGGGUUCCUGGACAUUAACUGACGCUGAGGCACGAAGGCCAGGGGAGCGAAAGGGAUUAGAUACCCUGGUAGUC
RNAcentral lists this ribosomal RNA (446 nucleotides) under uncultured bacterium. RNAcentral's name for it is "partial 16S ribosomal RNA". It matches the Rfam family "Bacterial small subunit ribosomal RNA", at positions 338 to 795 of the family's 1533-position model. The record is from RNAcentral.